This 86-nucleotide transfer RNA is filed under the name Candidatus Schekmanbacteria bacterium RBG_16_38_10. RNAcentral describes it as "tRNA-Leu". It matches the Rfam family "tRNA". Rfam says of the family: Transfer RNA (tRNA) molecules are approximately 80 nucleotides in length. Their secondary structure includes four short double-helical elements and three loops (D, anti-codon, and T loops). The record is from RNAcentral. Lineage: Bacteria; Candidatus Schekmaniibacteriota.
GGGCAGGUGGCGGAAUUGGCAGACGCGCUAGGUUCAGGACCUAGUCCUGGUAAAACGGGAUGCGGGUUCAACUCCCGCCCUGCCCA